This 708-nucleotide long non-coding RNA is filed under the name Pongo abelii (Sumatran orangutan). RNAcentral describes it as "lincRNA". The record is from RNAcentral. Lineage: Eukaryota; Metazoa; Chordata; Mammalia; Primates; Hominidae.
AAAUUCAUUUUACUUCGACAAAGGUUGAAGUAUGUAGCAGGCGAGGGGCAGAGACAAGUGCAGCUAUCUCUUUGAUCACAUCGCUUUAAACAUUUUUCAGCUUUAAGCUUGUCUUACAAAUCAGCUCUAUCAGUCUAUUAAUUGUUUCACUGUACCUAAUAUCUUACGCGAAGGCACCUUGAAAAACAGCAGAAGAAAGCACAUUUGUUUAAGUCCUGCGGUGGCUAGCACGGCAGCUAAUCUCCUUGCAAAUUAUAAUCAUAGUUGUAGUUCAUCCAUUAGGCUGGAAAAGACAAGAUUCCCAAGUGGCCUUGGUGCCUUUUCCAGUUCCCGGGAGACCCACCAACCCCCGGCGUGUGUUGCCUGCGCACCCGGAGCGUUCUUGCUAAUCAGGUCAAUGAUUAGCGCCUGGCUCCAGGGACCUACCAGGAGGCUAUCACAGCAGUUAGGGAGCCUCCAAACGGAGCACACUCACGGAGAAUCUCCCGUUCGGAAACAUCUCUUAGUCCUCAUUUACUCACUGGGAACCUCGGAGGAUUUCAGCUGAUGUUUUUCUCUCCUUAGACAGUGAGGAGCUCAACAUAACAGGGAAAAGGAGCACAGGAUGCAGCUACUUGGAGGGUGUUGAUUGAAAACUUCGAUCUCCCCACCCCAUUCACGGUUGAUUUGACGGAUUUCUCACCUCGUUCACAGAAAAUUUCAAUUAAG